AUACGAUUAUAAUCAUGAUAUAUAUGGUGAGUGUAUUUAUAUUAUUACAUUGCAAAUGUUAUACAUUCAAAAUGUUUUAAACAGAAUAGAAAACAAUAAACACAUUAUUAAUGGUAUCAUAUAUAUUCUACAUAGGGGUCUCUGUGGGUUAAACGUAUAGUUUAACUCUGAUCAUCGAUGAGUCCUGUAUCUAUACCAUUUAAGCAUAAUAUCGCUAACUCCAGUAAUUAAAAAAAAUAUAUAUAUUCUCUGGUUGCAAUCUACUAUAACUUCAAUCUUCUUUAAAUAUUUUCAGUCUAGAUAUGUAUACCUAUCCCAAAUCUAUCUAAC
RNAcentral lists this long non-coding RNA (330 nucleotides) under Mytilus galloprovincialis (Mediterranean mussel). The record is from RNAcentral. Lineage: Eukaryota; Metazoa; Mollusca; Bivalvia; Mytilida; Mytilidae.